CUCGAUCAUAGCCUAUCACAGGCUCACGAGUUCAAUUCGAGGGGUUACAUUUACUUAUGCCUAUGCGGAGGGACAAGUUAACUCACGAAAGCAUAAAUCAUAUGUAACCCGAAAGUAUUCACUAGCCUGUGCGGAGGGACGAGUUAACUCACGAAGGCGUAGCGUUUACUUUCACUUAAACGGACGGAGCCCGGGUAGAGAGCUCAUGUUAUGCGAAAAUGCAAGUGCACGGUGUGUGGGGAACAACUCAUAAACCUUUAC
Molecule: long non-coding RNA, 261 nt
Filed under: Gossypium barbadense (sea-island cotton)
Lineage: Eukaryota; Viridiplantae; Streptophyta; Magnoliopsida; Malvales; Malvaceae
Description: long non-coding RNA (GBAR_LNC017449)
Source: RNAcentral